RNAcentral lists this ribosomal RNA (293 nucleotides) under uncultured bacterium. Its description in RNAcentral is "partial 16S ribosomal RNA". It matches the Rfam family "Bacterial small subunit ribosomal RNA", at positions 775 to 1067 of the family's 1533-position model. The record is from RNAcentral.
GGAUUAGAUACCCUGGUAGUCCACGCUGUAAACGAUGUCUACUUGGAGGCUGUUGUCAUGAACAGUGGCUUUCGAAGCUAACGCGAUAAGUAGACCGCCUGGGGAGUACGGUCGCAAGAUUAAAACUCAAAUGAAUUGACGGGGGCCCGCACAAGCGGUGGAGCAUGUGGUUUAAUUCGAUGCAACGCGAAGAACCUUACCUACUCUUGACAUCCAGAGAAGCUUGAAGAGAUUCGAGUGUGCCUUCGGGAGCUCUGAGACAGGUGCUGCAUGGCUGUCGUCAGCUCGUGUCG